GUUGGAACUUUUGGUGAUUAAAGGACAAAGUGGUAUAAAAAAGGGGUUUAUAGGGGUAUAAUGGGAAAAUCAAGAUUAAAGGACAAAGUGGUGUAAAAAAGGGGUUUAUAGGGGUAUAAUGGGAAAAUCAAGAAAGAAAAGGUCUAAGCAUAACUCAAGAUUGAAGAUUCAUCUUUAACCUUCGAACACUCCCAGAACCAGCGGAGGUUGCUUCGAAUUCAGGGGAGAUUUCUCAUUGCUCUGGCUUCGGAAGGAUCUAAAAUUAUAAGUGAAAGUCAGAAACUCAAUGGCCUCUUGAUCCCAACCAAUAGACACAUCAAACAGCAAUCGAAGAAGGUGGGCUGCCCCUACAACUCAGAUCCUGGCGGUAGUUUCAGGUAGCCUGUGCAGGUUGUGUCUCACAAUAGGAGGAGCCUCAUGAGAGGCCAAGAUUCUAGGGCUUCAGUCGCCCAUUGAUAGAGAAUAACCACACAAAGUUUCAAGAGGGAAGGAAGAGGGACGAAAGAGAACGAACCACUCCCCUCAAGCUGCUAUCGUUGCUAGUUGCAGGGACCAAACAGAAAAUAGAAGGGAAAACAUGUAACAGAUCGAUGGCAAGAGGUAAAAUAAGAGAGAAGGGAAAGAAGAGGAGAGAAAAGAGAUCGCACCGGGGGGGGGGGGGAAGGGAAGGAGGUCACAUGACCUAGUUUGCACCUACCUGGCACCAAAACACUUAUUCAAUCAUUCUUCUAAACCUGUCAAUCGGUUACAAGAUUAUCACUAUUUAUAGACUCAAAAGAACCCUAUUUUCCUAUUAUGAAAUUGACAUAAAUCACGAAUUACUUCCUAAGAUCUAAACUUAUAAAAUUAGAAACAAAAUAAAACUCAAAUUGGAUAUUCUUAAUUAGCCUAAUAUCUACCAAGAUAAAAAAGAUAUUAAAUAAAUUUUUCCUAAAAUAAAAUAAAAUCUUAAAAUAUCCUACUAAACCCAAAUCAUCCAUCCGGACCCGGUUUGUCUCGGUCGAGAUUGCCAGAAGGGUCAACCCGGUUCAACUUUGUUUCUUCAUCACUCUCUUCACACGAUGUUUCUAAGGCCUGAUCUGUUCUUUUAGGUCCAUAUUAUUGUCCCUUUUCCCCACUUUAUUACAGCAUGCCAUCGAGUUUUGUCUAUUCCAAGAUUACCCCUCUCACCUUAUUACACAUCCUUUGUUCUUUUCUCUUUGAUUUAAAGUCCAACUAUUUACCAAUGUACAUCCUCUUAUGAACCUUACCUUUUUGACAAAAUUGUCAUCGUUAGCUUGUGUUUGGGUUUUAGUUGGUUAAGUGGGCCCAUAAGCGAUCGAUUCCAAAUUUGGAACCCAGAUCCCCAUCACUAGGUCUAAGAACCAAACUGUAAGUUCAAGCCAUCUCAAAGUAGAUUGUCGAAGUAAUCACCCCUUCUCCAAAAUUUCGUCAUUCCAUAUUAAUACUCUCGCAUCCUCGCUUUUAAUGCAUUUGACAUGGUCUAAAUCUCUGCUAUUCCUUUCUCUUAUUUUGGCUAUCCCAUAAAUCACUUUUUCUCCUUCCUUUGUAUGAGGUUUGCAUAGAGGUCAUCGUACUUCUUUGCUCUUGCUUUCCCAACAAUAUUUCGGGCUUCUUUUCUAGCCGCAUAAUAUCUCUUCUUACCCUCUGUUGUUAUUCCUUUUUCAAGUCUUGAAGAGCUCUUUCUUCUUCUUGAUGGCUGCUUGGACCUCAUCAUCCCACCACUCUUGUCUCUUGGGGUCAGGUUUACCUUUGAGAACCCUAGAACAUCUUUAGCGACUUUCUUAAUAUAGGUCGUCGUCUCAGUCCACAUCUUGUUGGUCUCUCCUUCAACAUCCCACUUCCGUUGUUGGAUCACUUUAUCGGUAAAUGUUUCUUAGGGAACUCCUUGUAGCCACCUGACUUUUCUUAGGGCAUGCCGGCUUUGCCUUCAUGCAUUGCCUCGUACCAACGAACAUAUCCAACACCGCCAAUCUAUGUUGAGUGGUUAAGUUCUCUCAGGGGAUAACCUUACAAUCUUUACACAGCAGUUUGUCAGACCUUCUGGUUAGGAGGAAGUCUAUUUGGCUUGCAUGUUGUCCACUUUUAUAUGUAAUUAAAUAUUCUUCUCUCAUCGAAGAAAGUAUUUGCUAUGCUUAGAUCAAAGGUGAUCACAAAGUUUGACACUGAGGUACCUUUAUCAUUCCACACCCUAAAUCCAUAUCCUCCAUGAACUUCUUCUAUCCUCUACGAUCUCGUCCCACAUGACCAUUUAAGUCACUGCCAAUGAUAAUCUUAUCUCCGUGAAAAACACCUUACACUAAUCCAUUUAUUUGUUCCCAGAGCUACAAUUUAUAACUCUCGUCUAAUCCUGCUUGGGGUACACGCUAAUUUUGUUGACAACCUCGUUGUUGAGAACAAGUUUGAUGGAUAUAUUCCUAUCUCCACAUCUUUUAACUUCCACAACUUCAUUCGAUAGGUCUUUGUCCACCACAAUGCCUACUCCUCUACCGCGUUCGUCCCUCAAAUAUCGUAUUUUGAAAUCAUCUACCAUCUUAGCUCUAUUACCCUUCCAUCUAGUUUCCUGAAUACGUGCAACAUUGAUCUUUCUUCUUCUCAUGAUGUCAAUUCAGCUCCAUAUUCUUACGCGUGGGAGAGCUGAUGUUCCAAGAUGCAAAUCUUACUCUACCUUAAUGAACAAGAUUAGUAAUAAAGGGCAUGCAUGGUAAAGAAAAGUAAAAGGUAUUCAAAAAAAUUUUAGGAUCCAUGUUAAGAGGAUUGGCUGAAUAAUAAUAAAGUGUCGUCUGCCUACCUGACGCACCAAUAUAAGAAAUAAAUAGGACAGGGGUAAGCAUAGACAGAAUUCUUUGUAGCUCCAGAAUGUUUCAGUUUAUGCUCCUACCUAUUAUAUUGAUAUACCAAGAGAGAUGUAUGGUCUAGUGAGGCUACUACGAAUUAUAGCAUAGCAAUAGGGCUCCUAGUACGACAGAACAAAAAGUCUUACCACUAGAGAGAUGUAGUAAAGCAAUUAUAAUGUUUAAUUCAGUUAGAGUCGACCAUAAACAAAUAGCUAAACAAUGUUGCGAAGCAGAAAUACAAAGAAAUACAAUGGUACAUCAAUUAGAGCCUAUGAAUAAACACAUAGCUAAACAAUGUUGCGAAGCAGAAAUACAAAGAAAUACAAUGGUACAUCAAUUAGAGCCUAUGAAUAAACACAUAGCUAAACAAUGUUGAGCGGAG
Macadamia integrifolia is the source of this 3219-nucleotide long non-coding RNA. RefSeq lists it as uncharacterized. NCBI's taxonomy places the organism in Eukaryota, Viridiplantae, Streptophyta, Magnoliopsida, Proteales, Proteaceae. The transcript has 2 exons. The record is from RefSeq and is a predicted model, not a curated record.